This 280-nucleotide ribosomal RNA is filed under the name uncultured bacterium. Its description in RNAcentral is "partial 16S ribosomal RNA". It matches the Rfam family "Bacterial small subunit ribosomal RNA", at positions 334 to 610 of the family's 1533-position model. The record is from RNAcentral.
UGUUCCUACGGGGGGCAGCAGUGAGGAAUAUUGGUCAAUGGGCGGGAGCCUGAACCAGCCAAGUCGCGUGAGGGAAGACGGUCCUACGGAUUGUAAACCUCUUUUGCCGGGGAGCAACGGGGUCCUUGCGAGGUCCCAAUGAGAGUACCCGGAGAAAAAGCAUCGGCUAACUCCGUGCCAGCAGCCGCGGUAAUACGGAGGAUGCGAGCGUUAUCCGGAUUUAUUGGGUUUAAAGGGUGCGGAGGCGGGCUGUUAAGUAAGAGGUCAAAUGUAGGGGCCC